Molecule: RNA transcript, 2381 nt
Organism: Sorex fumeus (smoky shrew)
Lineage: Eukaryota; Metazoa; Chordata; Mammalia; Eulipotyphla; Soricidae
Gene: WTAP
Gene name: WT1 associated protein
Exons: 7
Source: RefSeq, a predicted model, not a curated record
CCUCAGCGCCAUUUUGUGGCGGCGAGACCCGCAAAUAAAGGGGAGCGCCGGGGCUGCGGCGGGCGGAGCGCGGCGGGCGGCCCGGGCCGGGCGAGCGGGCGGCGCGGCCUCGGCCUAUGUGACUGGGCGGCGCCUGCGCGGCCCCGCUCGGGAGAGGUUUCAAAAUGACCAACGAGGAACCUCUUCCCAAAAAGGUUCGACUGAGUGAAACGGACUUCAAAGUAAUGGCACGAGAUGAGUUAAUUCUAAGGUGGAAGCAGUAUGAAGCGUAUGUGCAAGCUUUGGAGGGCAAGUACACAGAUCUUAAUUCUAAUGAUGUAACUGGCUUAAGGGAAUCUGAAGAAAAACUAAAGCAACAACAGCAAGAGUCUGCUCGCAGAGAAAACAUCCUUGUAAUGCGACUAGCAACCAAGGAACAAGAGAUGCAAGAGUGUACUACUCAGAUCCAGUACCUCAAGCAAGUCCAGCAGCCCAGUGUUGCCCAACUGCGAUCGACUAUGGUGGACCCGGCGAUCAACUUGUUUUUCCUAAAAAUGAAAGGCGAACUGGAACAGACUAAAGACAAACUGGAACAAGCUCAAAAUGAACUGAGUGCCUGGAAGUUUACGCCUGAUAGGUAAACAAUCAUAUCCCCAGUCAAGACUUCCCUGACAGUCCCACUGCGAGAACACUGUGGUGGGACAGCCGAGUACUCGUUUCCACACCAAGACUCAGACUUUUUGAGCCAAAAAGCCACAUUCUUUACUGUCCGGCUUGUAAUGGUUAAUGUGCACUUACCAGAUGAACCUUGUGUUUCAGCUCUUUCCUCUUCCCCCUCCCCUUGCUUCAGAGGCCUGAUGGCGUCGGACUAUUCCGAAGAAGUGGCCUCCUCCGAAAUUCCCCUUCUAGAACAUGUAGACACUUGAGAGAACAGUUUCUGUUUGAAGAAAAUACAGGGAGAAACAGAAGUCUUAAGUCUGUGGCACACUGUGUCUUCAGACAGUUUGGAGGAAUGAAAACCUAGAGAUUUAAAAUCCUGAAUUGAACAUGUAAAAUUGCAGUAAAAUGUAAAAACGGAAAAUGCAUCGCUCUUACUGUUGAGCAUAGUGACUUAGAGACACUGCUUAUCUGCUUUGCCGAUAAGACUGUGGACUUCGUGCUUGUUGGUGGACUUCUGGGUCAAAACUCAAUUGGGGUAAAUUUUGCCUCUAAAGGUUUACUUGCUAAGAACUAACUUAACAGUCUUGAGAGAAUCAAACAAUAGAUGUCAGUACAAAUAGUUCAUUUACUUAACCAUCUCCUUUGGGGCUCUCUUACUUGAUGGAGCCUUAAAUCAAUGUGGUUUUUAAUCAAUGGUUUGUUCUUUGAAUGGUUGCGAAAACUGUAGAUAAUCAUCGAGGACUGUACAAAAUGAAGGUGUGGUAUCAAAUCAGGUUGAAACUGUUCGAAGCAUUAAAAACAUUCAUUUCACAAGUAGAUUGUAUAAGGAUAUUGGCUGUGAUGGGACUCACUGCUUUAUUUUUCAGUAGUGGAAUUGAUUAAUCCCCGUUCGUUCAACAGGCACAUGUUGAAAGAGCGUUGUCGUUGGUGUUCAUGGGGGAAUGUGUUCCUUCAUUGUAUUUGGCCUUUUGUACUACACUUGAUAUUAAAUUAAAUGUGCCUUGAAAUAGUUGUUUUUUUUUUAAGUUCAAGGAAUACUAUGAUGAUUUUGUUGUACUUUUAAUCUUUUGGUUUGGGGGGCUGUGGAGAGCAGAUUCAUUUUGGAAAAAUUGUUGCGUGCUCUUCAAGAGAAGGAAAAGGCUCUGUGUCUCAUUUUUCAAAGACCGUUUUUUUUUCCAGCUGGUAUAAAAGACAAGGACACUUGACACUUGUUACUUUUUGACACUAUGUCCCAGGAUAUUGCAGUAGAAAUUAAUGUGGGACAGCUUCACUGGUGCCCGCUGAAGACGGGGAGUAGACUGAAUCGGGACUGUGGGCUGGCCUCAGUGAGACAUUUUGUAUUUGAAUUACAAACAAAGGUAUAGUGAUCAUUUCUAGCAAAUUCAUUUGAUCAUUUAGAUAAACGAGGCAUUUUCUUCAUGCUUCCAUCCAGUCCUGGAGGUGAAUUUUUUUCGUCAGACCAUUCAGUAAGUCACCAAUUUGAAUUUUCGCUUGGUGAUAAUGGAGUCUAAGAUGAGUGGAAGAUAAUGUUCCAGAUUGUCCCAACGGUUAAGUGCAGUUUUAACAAGGGUGACUUAAGUUCUCUCUUAAUCGUUCAAAUCAAUUCCAAACGGGCAAAAAGUUAAUGGCGAAGUGCCGAAUGCUUAUCCAGGAGAACCAGGAGCUUGGAAGGCAGCUGUCCCAGGGACGUAUUGCACAACUUGAAGCAGAGUUGGCUUUACAGAAGAAAUAUAGUGAGGAGC